AUGUUACCGUUGGAGAUUUGUUAUCAUUUGCCCACUGUAUCACACCACUUAAUACGAAAACUGAGGAGCAAACUACCCUUUUGGUUUACAUUCUCAGCAGCCGCCCAUCUCCUUCCCCAACCGGUACUCUCAACAUUCUUUCUUCUUCAAGGAGAAGAUCAGAACUGCUAAACUCCCCCAACCGCCACUCUCAACCGACUCUCUGAUACAGGAGGUAGUUUGCUGCUUUUUUAAAAAUUCAGGGGUUCGCAUUGUAGUUUUCUUUGCUCACGGAGAUUUUGUGCUAUUAAGGUUUUCCUAGUGGGUAACACAAUUGCCCCGUAAUUUUCUUUUUGUUUUUGCAGAUUCAACUGGGGACUGAUUGUGAGGAAUAAAUGUGAAAGAAUAUUGAAGCUGCUGGAGAAAGGCCCUGAUCUGAAAGAAGAAAGGGACAGGGCCCGGAAAGUUUCAAGAGGGAUUCAAGGAUUUGGCAGCUUCUGCCACAGGGAUUCAUCCGCUGGGCAUGAUGUAUUGCCAGAAUAAUCCCAGAAAGCAUUUGGGAGAUACAAUUCAGAGUUCAACCAGAAAAUAAAGUAUCUAAGCCCGGACAGUUCCAGUACUGGUGCGGAUUCCAGAGAAAAUUUGGCUCCAAAUGAAGAAAGCGGAAAUUUCGCUGGGGAAUCGAAGCCGCUGUUGGAACAGCAGAAAGAUGAGGCAGUCGUCCUCUUAGGAAGCCACCUCCGCCGUUUUCUGCGACCGCCGCCAUCUGGCCUCGGUCAAUUAUUUGUUAAGUGGAUCCCCAUUUGGUGGUUGAUAGUGGUAACCAAACUUGAGACUGCAAACUAUCAGACUAUUGGCCUUGAAUUGGUAAGUUUUCUGCAAUUAGCUGCUACUGAUACUUCCUUUGCUAGCACUUUGGUUUGAAAAAGUUUUGGCUUUGAUUGGCAACUGGGAGUCUACUACUUUAGGAGCGGUUAAUGUUAGUGAAGAUGAUCCCGACAAGUGUUAGCCAAAUGAUACAGUCGUCGGCUUGCUUCACAAUGACAUACUAGCUUUCAUGACACACACACAAGAGCUUUGCAGUUUCUUUUUCGGUUAUCUUUAGAACAAAUUUGGCCUAUUGUAAAUAGAAAUACUUUGUUUGUGUUUUCAGUGGAAAAAGCCUUUGUUAGA
Sesamum indicum (sesame) is the source of this 1152-nucleotide non-coding RNA. The record is from RefSeq and is a predicted model, not a curated record. Lineage: Eukaryota; Viridiplantae; Streptophyta; Magnoliopsida; Lamiales; Pedaliaceae.